Molecule: ribosomal RNA, 253 nt
Filed under: uncultured bacterium
Lineage: Bacteria
Description: partial 16S ribosomal RNA
Rfam family: Bacterial small subunit ribosomal RNA
Source: RNAcentral
UACGUAGGGGGCAAGCGUUGUCCGGAAUCAUUGGGCGUAAAGAGCGUGUAGGCGGUCCUGUAAGUCCGCUGUGAAAGUCAAGGGCUCAACCCUUGAAUGCCGGUGGAUACUGCAGGACUAGAGUCCGGAAGAGGCGAGUGGAAUUCCUGGUGUAGCGGUGAAAUGCGCAGAUAUCAGGAGGAACACCUAUGGCGAAGGCAGCUCGCUGGGACGUGACUGACGCUGAGACGCGAAAGCGUGGGGAGCAAACAGG